GGCCUGGAUAGCUCAGCUGGCUAGAGCAUGGUGCUGAUAGCACCAAGGUUGCAGGUUCGAUACCUGCAUGGGUCA
Podarcis lilfordi (Lilford's wall lizard) is the source of this 75-nucleotide non-coding RNA. Lineage: Eukaryota; Metazoa; Chordata; Lepidosauria; Squamata; Lacertidae. The record is from the annotation of a GenBank genome assembly.